RNAcentral lists this ribosomal RNA (492 nucleotides) under uncultured bacterium. Its description in RNAcentral is "partial 16S ribosomal RNA". It matches the Rfam family "Bacterial small subunit ribosomal RNA", at positions 29 to 507 of the family's 1533-position model. The record is from RNAcentral.
AGUGAACGCUGGCGGUAGGCCUAACACAUGCAAGUCGAACGGCAGCACAGUAAGAGCUUGCUCUUACGGGUGGCGAGUGGCGGACGGGUGAGGAAUACAUCGGAAUCUACUUUUUCGUGGGGGAUAACGUAGGGAAACUUACGCUAAUACCGCAUACGACCUACGGGUGAAAGCAGGGGAUCUUCGGACCUUGCGCGAUUGAAUGAGCCGAUGUCGGAUUAGCUAGUUGGCGGGGUAAAGGCCCACCAAGGCGACGAUCCGUAGCUGGUCUGAGAGGAUGAUCAGCCACACUGGAACUGAGACACGGUCCAGACUCCUACGGGAGGCAGCAGUGGGGAAUAUUGGACAAUGGGCGCAAGCCUGAUCCAGCCAUACCGCGUGGGUGAAGAAGGCCUUCGGGUUGUAAAGCCCCUUUGUUGGGAAAGAAAAGCAGCAGGUUAAUACCCCACUGUUCUGACGGUACCCAAAGAAUAAGCACCGGCUAACUUCGUG